RNAcentral lists this small RNA (28 nucleotides) under Bombyx mori (domestic silkworm). Its description in RNAcentral is "ovarian small RNA-36855". Lineage: Eukaryota; Metazoa; Arthropoda; Insecta; Lepidoptera; Bombycidae. The record is from RNAcentral.
UUAUGACCAUUCCAUAGUCUUUGAGCCC